Molecule: ribosomal RNA, 751 nt
Filed under: uncultured bacterium
Lineage: Bacteria
Description: bacterial SSU rRNA
Rfam family: Bacterial small subunit ribosomal RNA
Source: RNAcentral
GAUGAACGCUGGCGGCGUGCCUAACACAUGCAAGUCGAACGGACAUUUUUUGGAAAGCUCUUCGGAACUGGAAUCUAAAUGUUAGUGACGGACGGGUGAGUAACGCGUGAGCAAUCUGCCUUUCAGAGGGGGAUAACAGCCGGAAACGGCUGCUAAUACCGCAUAAUGCAUUGGAUUCGCAUGUUUCUGAUGCCAAAGAUUUUAUCGCUGAAAGAUGAGCUCGCGUCUGAUUAGCUAGUUGGCGGGGUAACGGCCCACCAAGGCGACGAUCAGUAGCCGGACUGAGAGGUUGAACGGCCACAUUGGGACUGAGACACGGCCCAGACUCCUACGGGAGGCAGCAGUGGGGAAUAUUGCGCAAUGGGGGCAACCCUGACGCAGCAACGCCGCGUGAUUGAUGAAGGUCUUCGGAUUGUAAAAAUCUUUAAUCAGGGACGAAGAAAAUGACGGUACCUGAAGAAUAAGCUCCGGCUAACUACGUGCCAGCAGCCGCGGUAAUACGUAGGGAGCAAGCGUUAUCCGGAUUUACUGGGUGUAAAGGGCGUGUAGGCGGGCUUGCAAGUUGGAAGUGAAAUCUCGGGGCUUAACCCCGAAACUGCUUUCAAAACUGCGAGUCUUGAGUGAUGGAGAGGCAGGCGGAAUUCCCAGUGUAGCGGUGAAAUGCGUAGAUAUUGNGAGGAACACCAGUGGCGAAGGCGGCCUGCUGGACAUUAACUGACGCUGAGGCGCGAAAGCGUGGGGAGCAAACAGG